This 253-nucleotide ribosomal RNA is filed under the name uncultured bacterium. Its description in RNAcentral is "partial 16S ribosomal RNA". It matches the Rfam family "Bacterial small subunit ribosomal RNA", at positions 524 to 776 of the family's 1533-position model. The record is from RNAcentral.
GACGUAGGAUGCGAGCGUUGUUCGGAUUUAUUGGGCGUAAAGCGUACGUAGGCGGCUUUUUAAGUCUGGUGUUAAAGCUAGGGGCUCAACCCCUGUGAUGCACUGGAAACUGGGAAGCUUGAGUGUGGUAGGGGAAGGUGGAAUUCCGAGUGUAGCGGUGAAAUGCGUAGAUAUUCGGAAGAACACCGGUGGCGAAAGCGACCUUCUGGGCCAUUACUGACGCUGAGGUACGAAAGCUUGGGGAGCGAACGGG